Molecule: ribosomal RNA, 1044 nt
Filed under: Vibrio parahaemolyticus
Lineage: Bacteria; Pseudomonadati; Pseudomonadota; Gammaproteobacteria; Vibrionales; Vibrionaceae
Description: partial 23S ribosomal RNA
Rfam family: Bacterial large subunit ribosomal RNA
Source: RNAcentral
UGCUAACGUCCGUCGUGGAGAGGGAAACAACCCAGACCGCCAGCUAAGGUCCCAAAUUACUACUAAGUGGGAAACGAUGUGGGAAGGCUCAGACAGCCAGGAUGUUGGCUUAGAAGCAGCCAUCAUUUAAAGAAAGCGUAAUAGCUCACUGGUCGAGUCGGCCUGCGCGGAAGAUGUAACGGGGCUAAGUAGUAAACCGAAGCUGCGGCAAUGUGCUUUUGCACAUUGGGUAGGGGAGCGUUCUGUAAGCGGUUGAAGGUGUGUGGUAACGCAUGCUGGACGUAUCAGAAGUGCGAAUGCUGACAUGAGUAACGAUAAAGGGGGUGAAAAACCUCCUCGCCGGAAGACCAAGGGUUCCUGUCCAACGUUAAUCGGGGCAGGGUAAGUCGACCCCUAAGGCGAGGCCGAAAGGCGUAGUCGAUGGGAAACGGGUUAAUAUUCCCGUACUUCUUACAAUUGCGAUGGGGGGGACGGAGAAGGCUAGGUGGGCCUGGCGACGGUUGUCCAGGUUCAAGUGCGUAGGCUUAAGAGUUAGGUAAAUCCGGCUCUUUUUAAGGCUGAGACACGACGUCGAGCUACUACGGUAGUGAAGUCAUUGAUGCCAUGCUUCCAGGAAAAGCCUCUAAGCUUCAGAUUGUAAGGAAUCGUACCCCAAACCGACACAGGUGGUCGGGUAGAGAAUACCAAGGCGCUUGAGAGAACUCGGGUGAAGGAACUAGGCAAAAUGGUACCGUAACUUCGGGAGAAGGUACGCUCUUGAUGGUGAAGUCCCUCGCGGAUGGAGCUGACGAGAGUCGCAGAUACCAGGUGGCUGCAACUGUUUAUUAAAAACACAGCACUGUGCAAAAUCGUAAGAUGACGUAUACGGUGUGACGCCUGCCCGGUGCCGGAAGGUUAAUUGAUGGGGUUAGACUUCGGUCGAAGCUCUUGAUCGAAGCCCCGGUAAACGGCGGCCGUAACUAUAACGGUCCUAAGGUAGCGAAAUUCCUUGUCGGGUAAGUUCCGACCUGCACGAAUGGCGUAAUGAUGGCCACGCUGUCUCCA